UGCAAUCUACCUUUUACAGAGGGAUAGCCCAGAGAAAUUUGGAUUAAUACCUCAUAGUAUUUUUGAAUGGCAUCAUUUGAUUACUAAAGUUCCAACGGUAAAAGAUGAGUAUGCGUCCCAUUAGCUAGAUGGUAAGGUAACGGCUUACCAUGGCUACGAUGGGUAGGGGUCCUGAGAGGGAGAUCC
This 186-nucleotide ribosomal RNA is filed under the name uncultured Bacteroidota bacterium. RNAcentral describes it as "uncultured Bacteroidetes bacterium partial 16S ribosomal RNA". It matches the Rfam family "Bacterial small subunit ribosomal RNA", at positions 120 to 306 of the family's 1533-position model. The record is from RNAcentral. Lineage: Bacteria; Pseudomonadati; Bacteroidota.